CCUACGGGUGGCAGCAGUGGGGAAUAUUGCACAAUGGGGGAAACCCUGAUGCAGCGACGCCGCGUGAGUGAAGAAGUAAUUCGUUAUGUAAAGCUCUAUCAGCAGGGAAGAAAAUGACGGUACCUGAGUAAGAAGCCCCGGCUAACUACGUGCCAGAAGCCGCGGUAAUACGUCGGGGGCAAGAGUUAUCCGGAUUUACUGGGGGUAAAGGGAGCGUAGACGGGAGUGCAAGUCUGGAGUGAAAGGCGGGGGCGCAACCCCCGGACUGCUCUGGAAACUGUACGGCUUGAGUGCAGGAGAGGUAAGUGGAAUUCGUGGUGUAGCGGUGAAAUGCGUAGAUAUUAGGAGGAACACCAGUGGCGAAGGCGGCUUACUGGACUGUAACUGACGUUGAGGCUCGAAAGCGUGGGGAGCAAACAGGAUUAGAUACCCUAGUAGUC
RNAcentral lists this ribosomal RNA (440 nucleotides) under uncultured bacterium. Its description in RNAcentral is "partial 16S ribosomal RNA". It matches the Rfam family "Bacterial small subunit ribosomal RNA", at positions 338 to 795 of the family's 1533-position model. The record is from RNAcentral.